CACGUCUUUUUAAAAGGCAUCUAAUGCUUACACUUCCUUUAUUGCAAAUUCUGUUUAAUUCAGAAUUUAUCUUCUGCUCUGCUAAUAGCUUGCUAGACCGUGCAGGUGCCUCCUGUAUAUAAUUAAAGUUCAAUUUACGGAACUUUUCAAAGUAAGUUACAUAAUUUUGAAAAUGAAACCAUUUUGUUUUUCUGCAGUCUGUCAGUUACAGCCAAGGGAG
Pelobates cultripes (western spadefoot toad) is the source of this 220-nucleotide non-coding RNA. The record is from the annotation of a GenBank genome assembly. NCBI's taxonomy places the organism in Eukaryota, Metazoa, Chordata, Amphibia, Anura, Pelobatidae.